Molecule: ribosomal RNA, 427 nt
Filed under: uncultured bacterium
Lineage: Bacteria
Description: partial 16S ribosomal RNA
Rfam family: Bacterial small subunit ribosomal RNA
Source: RNAcentral
GUGGGGAAUAUUGGGCAAUGGGGGAAACCCUGACCCAGCAACGCCGCGUGAGUGAAGAAGGCCUUCGGGUUGUAAAGCUCUGUCAUUAGGGAAGAAGAAGUGACGGUACCUAAUGAGGAAGCCCCGGCUAACUACGUGCCAGCAGCCGCGGUAAUACGUAGGGGGCGAGCGUUGUCCGGAAUUACUGGGCGUAAAGGGUGCGUAGGCGGCGUGUUAAGUUGGAUGUGAAAUACCCGGGCUUAACCUGGGGGGUGCAUUCGAUACUGGCAGGCUAGAGUGCAGGAGAGGGAAGCGGAAUUCCUAGUGUAGCGGUGAAAUGCGUAGAUAUUAGGAGGAACACCAGUGGCGAAGGCGGCUUUCUGGACUGUAACUGACGCUGAUGCACGAAAGCGUGGGGAGCAAACAGGAUUAGAUACCCGAGUAGUCC